Molecule: ribosomal RNA, 253 nt
Filed under: uncultured bacterium
Lineage: Bacteria
Description: partial 16S ribosomal RNA
Rfam family: Bacterial small subunit ribosomal RNA
Source: RNAcentral
UACGAAGGGUGCAAGCGUUACUCGGAAUUACUGGGCGUAAAGCGUGCGUAGGUGGUUCGUUAAGUCUGAUGUGAAAGCCCUGGGCUCAACCUGGGAAUGGCAUUGGAUACUGGCGACCUAGAGUGCGGUAGAGGGUAGCGGAAUUCCCGGUGUAGCAGUGAAAUGCGUAGAUAUCGGGAGGAACAUCCGUGGCGAAGGCGGCUACCUGGACCAGCACUGACACUGAGGCGCGAAAGCGUGGGGAGCAAACAGG